UUUCACAGCCCGUGAACGGCAGUAAUUGUGGCCGUACCAAGUGUUUCCCGGGAUGGCAACAUUGUAGAUGAAGGUGACGGCUUUCGAGUUGUAGCCGUAGAUGGUAACAUCAUACGGUAUCCAUCCAUCGUAUCCGCUCCUGUACAGGUACGCAUAACAGAUCUGAUACGUACAUGGACCGUAUACCGUAUAUGUAUCCUUCGAACACCGCUCAAAAGCCCUGCUUGCCGGGUCAUCUAUCCGCGGUGCAUAAACCUGGGGAAAAAAAUGGUAUUCCGAUCCGUAUUGGACAAUUGAACAGUGAAAUUAAAACAAAUUGGAGCUUAAAGCGGUAUGAGAAUCGGUAUUAGUUACCUGAUUUCCAUAAGCAUCGCCAAAGGCUAAACUAAUUUGGUCUCUAGUGUAAGCUGGAGAAGAGCAGCUUGUCCUUAUGCUUACCGUAAAUGAACAGCGUGCAUUUUGUCCCUAAAAUAUUCAGAUUAAUCCGUGCUCAAAACAUAUUGUUUGGUUAAUUAAUUGAAUAUCAAAUUUUCUGAACUUGAUAUUGCGGAACCAAAAAAGGAGAAGAAAUGACUGAAUCGUACCUGGUGCAGAGUGGUGUUGAUUAUAUCGAGGGAUGACAAAGGCUGGGGCAAGAACACGAUGGAUCUUGAUGCUUGGACACCGGAAGUUAUGGAAGCGACGGUGAUAACGAGAAGAAAGAGCAUCACCGGCCGGCUGGUCAUGGCUGGUGACAUCGAGAACCCUCUGUUAGGUAAACUUGUUUAACCAGUUUUUGGAAUAUGAUAUGGCAAUCGGCGUUUACUAAUUUGUGGCAAAACUUCGAACGGCACACGACUUAUGUUUAGAUAAUAAGGAAAGGGUAUGUUCGUCAUUCCGUGUCUAAUGAGCGUAGACAGAAGGUAUCAGGUGGCAGGUAAAACGGAUGGCUGGUGCUGCAAAUAGUACAAACGUGUUUGGCAUGCAAAAAAAUAUUUAAAUUUAAGCAUUGAAAAAUAUACCUUAUGAAUGAGGUAUAAAUAUGCAAAAUAUAUAAAAUGCAGGUGCCAGAUUUAGGGUAAAAAGUUUACAUACACCCUAUCAAAUACAGCACGGAGGUUAAAAAAAAAAAAAAUUUACAUACACUCUAUCUUUUUCAAACUUUAUCGGUGAAAUUUCACGAAUAAUUACUUACCGCAUGGUAAGGAAGAGUAGUAGACUAUAUUUUAGAGUUUGGACACAGUAUUGGCUUAUUCGUGGCUUUAUGUAUCUUAGUGAGCAAGUAUAUGGACAUUCUAUUCAAAUCCAAUAAAAAAAGUUUCGGAUGUGUUUUAUCUGAUAGGGAUGGCUUGUUUGGUAGCUGGAGCUGCGGUUCCUUGUGUCAAUUCUUUAAAAUAAAUACAAAAUAGUCCUUAUCUAAACUCUACUUCCUGGUUUAGACUUCAAGCAUGUUCUUUCAGAAAUUUCUGAUUAGAUUCAAAAUUGAUGAUAUAUUAAAAUUUCAGAACAAGCUGUGGCUAGCACAACUUUUAAUCUAUUUUGUGUAGAUGAAAGAAGUUUUGGUAAAAUCCAUAGCGUUUUGGUGCUGAAUUUUUCCUUGAUUUUAUUAGGGGAGGCAGGUGAGAGAGGGAAGUAGUAGGCGGCACCCACAGUAAUUUAUUGCUGGACAUUGACAUAUAAGCUAAGGCAAAACGCACAAAUUCAGAGGUCGGGAACCAUAUUCCGUUCAACUGGAAGGGUAAUAUAGAG
RNAcentral lists this long non-coding RNA (1728 nucleotides) under Solanum lycopersicum (tomato). RNAcentral describes it as "long non-coding RNA (SLYC_LNC001384)". Lineage: Eukaryota; Viridiplantae; Streptophyta; Magnoliopsida; Solanales; Solanaceae. The record is from RNAcentral.